UGCCAGCCGCCGCGGUAAUACGGAGGGUGCGAGCGUUAAUCGGAAUUACUGGGCGUAAAGCGCAUGCAGGCGGACUAUUAAGUUGGAUAUAAAAGACCGGGGCUCAACCUCGUGUUUGUGUCCAAAACUGGUAGUCUAGAAUUAGGGAGAGGUAAGUGGAAUUCUGUGUGUAGGGGUGCAAUCCGUAGAUACACAGAGGAACACCAAAAGCGAAGGCAACUUACUGGAACUAUAUUGACGCUGAUGAACGAAAGCGUGGGUAGCGAAAAGGAUUAGAUA
This 279-nucleotide ribosomal RNA is filed under the name uncultured bacterium. RNAcentral's name for it is "partial 16S ribosomal RNA". It matches the Rfam family "Bacterial small subunit ribosomal RNA", at positions 506 to 784 of the family's 1533-position model. The record is from RNAcentral.